GAUGAACGCUGGCGGCGUGCUUAACACAUGCAAGUCGAACGGAAAGGCUCCUGCUUGCAGGGGUACUCGAGUGGCGAACGGGUGGGUAACACGUGGGUGAUCUGCCCUGCACUUCGGGAUAAGCCUGGGAAACUGGGUCUAAUACCGGAUAGGACGAUGGUUUGGAUGCCAUUGUGGAAAGUUUUUUCGGUGUGGGAUGAGCUCGCGGCCUAUCAGCUUGUUGGUGGGGUAAUGGCCUACCAAGGCGUCGACGGGUAGCCGGCCUGAGAGGGUGUACGGCCACAUUGGGACUGAGAUACGGCCCAGACUCCUACGGGAGGCAGCAGUGGGGAAUAUUGCACAAUGGGCGCAAGCCUGAUGCAGCGACGCCGCGUGGGGGAUGACGGCCUUCGGGUUGUAAACUCCUUUCGCUAGGGACGAAGCGCAAGUGACGGUACCUGGAGAAGAAGCACCGGCUAACUACG
This 464-nucleotide ribosomal RNA is filed under the name uncultured bacterium. RNAcentral's name for it is "partial 16S ribosomal RNA". It matches the Rfam family "Bacterial small subunit ribosomal RNA", at positions 28 to 505 of the family's 1533-position model. The record is from RNAcentral.